This is a long non-coding RNA of Pygocentrus nattereri (red-bellied piranha), 880 nucleotides long. NCBI's taxonomy places the organism in Eukaryota, Metazoa, Chordata, Actinopteri, Characiformes, Serrasalmidae. The record is from Ensembl.
UAGUAAACACUGUUUUUCUCUCCAAUAGGUCGUUAUGAAUGUCAGUACAGUACAAGCAGUGGACUCCAUAUCCUGUGGGACGACAUUGACUACAUCAAGCCUUACCCCAAUAUUCAAACAAGUCCUAACAGGUCUUAUAAGUGUCAGCCUAGUAAUCUUGUUCAGCUCACCUGCUGUGUGUAUGUGGAUUAUGACGUGCAGCUGGUAAACGACAAAGAUCAAAUUCUACCUUCCACUCAGUCUUUGCAGCCUGAUUUACAGCAAAAGUGCAUCCAAUACUCCUUCUCAGUAACACAAAGCUGCGGUUCAACACUGAAGUUCCUUUGCAGACUUGCCCAUGGAAAUUUACAAACAUUCUCAUACAGUUCAAGAACAAUAGAGCUGAAGAUUUCCGCAGCUCUUCCAGUUUCAUCUGCCAACGCACCUGUGACAUGUGAGGAUGAAGUGUACGGGUUUGGUAACGUGGGAGACACCGGUGUUGGACAGUGUGAUGCUACUGAAGUGGGCAGUAAAACUGCGAAGUGUGGAGACGAUGGAAAGUGGAAAACUGUCCAAAACAACUGCGUCCUUCGAGUCUUUCAAAUGCUGAAACAAGAAUCUCAGGUAAUGUCAACUGUUACCAUAGUACCAAAGUACUUUACAUUGAUAAAUUAAGUUUAGAUGCUUGUGUGACGAGCAUUGUGUGCUGGACGAGGCAGGAGGCGGUGGGUAUAACUGCUAGUCUAGUUUACUAAACUGAAAACACUCACCGACGACCAAAACAGCAAACCAAACAAACUGAGGACAGAAACAGUGGAGAAUAAACACCACCGUUACAGCUGUGACCGGAAUUCUGCGAGGAGGUAUUCCUUAAAGGAGCCUUGUUGUAAACACAUGGAGA